CCUACGGGAGGCAGCAGUGAGGAAUAUUGUUCAAUGGACGAGAGUCUGAACCAGCCACGUAGCGUGAAGGAUGAAUGCCCUAUGGGUUGUAACCUUCUUUUAUAAAGGAAUACAACGAGGCACGUGUGCCUUUUUGCAUUUACUUUAUGAAUAAGGAUCGGCUAAAUCAGUGCCAGCAGCCGCGGUAAUACGGAGGGUCCGAGCGUUAUCCGGAUUGAUUGGUUUUAAAGGGAGCGUAGAGGGGUUGUGAAUGCAGUUGUGAAAGUUUGCGGCUCAACCGUAAAAUUGCAAUUGAUACUGGCAGACGUGAGUACAGUUGAGGUAGGCGGAAUUCGUGGUGUAGCGGUGAAAUGCUUAGAUAUCACGAAGAACCCCGAUUGCGAAGGCAGCUUACUAAACUGUGACUGACAUUGAUGCUCGAAAGUGUGGGUAUCAAACAGGAUUAGAUACCCUGGUAGUC
RNAcentral lists this ribosomal RNA (460 nucleotides) under uncultured bacterium. RNAcentral describes it as "partial 16S ribosomal RNA". It matches the Rfam family "Bacterial small subunit ribosomal RNA", at positions 338 to 795 of the family's 1533-position model. The record is from RNAcentral.